AAUGAACGUUGGCGGCGUGGAUUAGGCAUGCAAGUCGUGCGAGAAGGUUUCCUUCGGGGAACUGGAAAGCGGCGAAAGGGAGAGUAACGCGUGGAUACUUACCCCCGGGACCGGGAUAGCGGCGGGAAACUGCCGGUAAUACCGGAUAAUAUCUCUGGAUCAAAGGUGUGAUUCCGCCUGGGGAUGGGUCCGCGUCCUAUUAGCUAGUUGGUGGGGUAAAGGCCUACCAAGGCUUUGAUGGGUAGCGGGUGUGAGAGCAUGGCCCGUCUCACUGGGACUGAGACACUGCCCAGACACCUACGGGUGGCUGCAGUCGAGAAUCUUCGGCAAUGGGCGCAAGCCUGACCGAGCGACGCCGCGUGCGGGAGGAAGGCCUUCGGGUUGUAAACCGCUGUCAGAGGGGCGCAAAUGCUGUGGGUUCUCCCCACAGUUUGAGCAAUCCUCAGAGGAAGGACGGGCUAAGUUCGUGCCAGCGCC
RNAcentral lists this ribosomal RNA (477 nucleotides) under uncultured bacterium. RNAcentral's name for it is "bacterial SSU rRNA". It matches the Rfam family "Bacterial small subunit ribosomal RNA", at positions 28 to 515 of the family's 1533-position model. The record is from RNAcentral.